AGAACGAACGCUGGCGGCAGGCUUAACACAUGCAAGUCGAGCGCCUCGGCAACGGGGAGCGGCAGACGGGUGAGUAACGCGUGGGAACAUACCCUCCGGUUCGGAAUAACUCAGGGAAACUUGAGCUAAUACCGGAUACGGCAACCAAGAGAGAUUUUGGCGGCGAAAGAUUUAUCGCCGGAGGAUUGGCCCGCGUCCGAUUAGCUAGUUGGUGUGGUAAUGGCGCACCAAGGCGACGAUCGGUAGCUGGUCUGAGAGGAUGAUCAGCCACAUUGGGACUGAGACACGGCCCAAACUCCUACGGGAGGCAGCAGUGGGGAAUAUUGGACAAUGGGCGCAAGCCUGAUCCAGCCAUGCCGCGUGAGUGAUGAAGGCCUUAGGGUUGUAAAGCUCUUUCACCCACGACGAUAAUGACGGUAGUGGGAGAAGAAGCCCGGCUAACUUCGUGCCAGCAGCCGC
This 459-nucleotide ribosomal RNA is filed under the name uncultured bacterium. RNAcentral's name for it is "SSU rRNA". It matches the Rfam family "Bacterial small subunit ribosomal RNA", at positions 26 to 518 of the family's 1533-position model. The record is from RNAcentral.